GGCUCAGAUUGAACGCUGGCGGCAUGCCUUACACAUGCAAGUCGAACGGCAGCACGGACUUCGGGUCUGGUGGCGAGUGGCGAACGGGUGAGUAAUGUAUCGGAACGUACCUUUCAGUGGGGGAUAACGUAGCGAAAGUUACGCUAAUACCGCAUAUUCUGUGAGCAGGAAAGCAGGGGAUCGCAAGACCUUGCGCUGAUUGAGCGGCCGAUAUCAGAUUAGCUAGUUGGUGAGGUAAAGGCUCACCAAGGCGACGAUCUGUAGCGGGUCUGAGAGGAUGAUCCGCCACACUGGAACUGAGACACGGUCCAGACUCCUACGGGAGGCAGCAGUGGGGAAUUUUGGACAAUGGGGGCAACCCUGAUCCAGCCAUGCCGCGUGAGUGAAGAAGGCCUUCGGGUUGUAAAGCUCUUUCGGCCGGGAAGAAAUCGCAUGGGCUAAUACCCUGUGCGGAUGACGGUACCGGCAUAAGAAGCACCGGCUAACUACGUG
This 492-nucleotide ribosomal RNA is filed under the name uncultured bacterium. RNAcentral describes it as "bacterial SSU rRNA". It matches the Rfam family "Bacterial small subunit ribosomal RNA", at positions 21 to 507 of the family's 1533-position model. The record is from RNAcentral.